Molecule: unclassified non-coding RNA, 2115 nt
Filed under: Hevea brasiliensis (rubber tree)
Lineage: Eukaryota; Viridiplantae; Streptophyta; Magnoliopsida; Malpighiales; Euphorbiaceae
Source: RNAcentral
ACUGACUGCGCUCCUAAAUAUGGCAGCCAUGAAUCUUAGGAAUUAAUCUUUUAUAGACUGUAAAAUCGACAUAAAGAAUACUUGAUGUACUUAAAAAAUAAUAGUAGAACCAGAUAAUUGAGUUAUGAGAUUCCCAUAAUAAAACCAAAAAGAUGAAGUUCCAUGCUGAAGCAAUUACUGAAGCCUGAAGGAGUCUUAGGAACUCCUGUGAGCAACUCUAGUUCUAUAUUGUAGUGUCCCUCUCACAUUGUUGUCUUGUCCGGGCCACUGCCUUAUGGUUUGAUGAACAAUGCCAAGUAAUCCACCAUUUUAGCCAGGCUAUUUACAAUUUGAAAAAUAAAAAUAAUAAUAUUAAAAAAGGAAAAAGAAACUGACUGCAUAUCUAUAGCCUGCAUCGAGAGAUCAUAUCUCAGAAACACUCUCAAGUAACAGUUAAACUAACUUCUUUGCUGGCCAACCAAGCUCUUGAAAAUAGAAAAUAUUCAUUGUGGCAAUCUUCCAGAUAAGUAUAAAGAUAGCUUGUCUCUCAGAUACACACCUUUUAUGUCGACGGAUUCACAAGUCUGUUGCUGGUAGUCUGGGUCAUGCUGGUGAGACAAAGGAAUAUCACUCUGUGCCUCAUCUUCCAAAUCAAUGGCUAUGUUAUGGAGCAAGCAGCAGACUAGGAUAAUCCUUGGCAACCUAUGUUUGUCAGGUCUCCACAUCACUCCAUGAAUGAUCCUCCACAUGUCCUUCAGCCUCGCCAAUGCUCUGUUGGCUACCAUCUGAGUUGCAGAAAGCCGUUUAUUGAACUCGGCUUUUGGUUCUGAGAGAUCUUUCCCCUCAUAUGGAACAAUAAGAUAUGGCAGUAGAGGAAAUCCUGAAUCUCCAAUUAUAUAUUCCCUUAUUUCUGAUCCUUCAGAAAGCUGUAAUUUUUUCCCAUUCAACCUAUCUCCUCUUUCACAAAGUUUAUGGAAGUUUGAACUCUGAAACACCACCCAAUCUUGCAUUUUUCCAGGCCAUCCAGUGACUAUGUCUAGGAACCUCAUCUCAGGGUCUACAACUGCCUGCAAGACCAUGCUGUGAUUCUUCUCAUUAUCGAGCCAUACAUUACUUGAAGUGUCUGAGGAAGGCAACAGCAUCAUGAUGUGAGUGGUUUCAACCACACCACAACAAUUAGGGAGACCUUGUAUGUUCUCAAACUUAGAUUUUAUUUGCAUCAUUUCUAAUUCACUAGAAGGCCAUUUUAGGUGUUGAAGCCCGCUUUCUUCCAUGGCCUCCACAAAACGCCAGGUUACUUGGGAGACAGUUGAGUGGUUCAACCCAAAUGAAUCAGCAACUGUCACUAGUGAAUCACCAGAACUCAGUCUUCUUAAAGCCACAGCAACCUGGUCAUGCAAAGAUAAAACCUUGCCAUUUAAAAACGUAAAUUCCCUUGAUUUAGCAGUCAUAUCUUCCUUCACAAGUGAACAUAUGUAAUUGAAGGUUUUCCUGGUAAUCCUGAAAACUUGUUCAAACUUGUCCAAACUCUUUGAUUGAGAUGGAAGACCAUUAAUCCUCUUGGAAAAUUCAUCCCACCAAUCCACAGGCCCUUCCUUCUCUGCAGACACAGAAGCAGAAGCAGAAGCAUAAGCAUUAUCUUCGGCCCUUUUAUCUGUCUUUUUCCUCUUUUUGUACCCUCUUAUAGGACCCAUCAAAGCUUACACGACCCCAAUUAAAUCCAAACUGAAGAAACCCACUAGCAAAGUCACACAGAGAUCAUGAAAGAAUGAUGAGAGAGAUAAUGGGUCGUAAUAACAUGCAACAAAAUUUCAUGAACAGGCAAAGCUAGUUGCGAUAUGUAUAUUGUUUUUGUGUGUGGCUUUUGAAGCAUGCAAAUAAAUGAGAAAAUCAAUAAUAACAGAGAAAGAGUGCUUGGAUGAGAUGGGAAAAAAUAAAAGAGAAGAGAGAGAGAGAGAGUAUGUGCAUUUAUAUCUACACAGAGAAGCUAAAUCUAUGUGCUAGCACAUGUGGGUAGGUCUUUGUUAAAGACAAUGUGGCAAUAGAAGAGAACUCUUUUCUUACAACAUUUCCUGUUACUCUAACAAUCUCAGAGAAGUAGAGUAAUAUGCCUUGGGAAGUUAGCUUCAAGUUUUU